AUACAUGAAGGAGUUGUUUCAUGAUAUCAAUGAAAUAAUGUCACAAUGUAGAAUGUUUUAACAUUGUAGUAGGAGUAUUUUAAUUAUGUUCUACCUUAUCGUUUGCCCUGUUCAAUUGAUUGCAGCAUGAUAUGGAUAUUAGCCUCAGGGGAAAAUCCAGGCUCUGACUUGAAAGAGUAUUAUUUAAC
Non-coding RNA from Salvelinus sp. IW2-2015, 188 nucleotides. Lineage: Eukaryota; Metazoa; Chordata; Actinopteri; Salmoniformes; Salmonidae. The record is from RefSeq and is a predicted model, not a curated record.